UGCAGUCGAGCGGUAGAGAGAAGCUUGCUUCUCUUGAGAGCGGCGGACGGCUGAGCAUGCCUAGGAAUCUGCCUGGUGGUGGGGGAUAACGUUCGGAAACGGACGCUAAUACCGCAUACGUCCUACGGGAGAAAGCGGGGGACCUUCGGGCCUCGCGCCAUUAGAUGAGCCUAGGUCGGAUUAGCUAGUUGGUGGGGUAAAGGCUCACCAAGGCGACGAUCCGUAACUGGUCUGAGAGGAUGAUCAGUCACACUGGAACUGAGACACGGUCCAGACUCCUACGGGAGGCAGCAGUGGGGAAUAUUGGACAAUGGGCGAAAGCCUGAUCCAGCCAUGCCGCGUGUGUGAAGAAGGUCUUCGGAUUGUAAAGCACUUUAAGUUGGGAGGAAGGGUAGUAACUUAAUACGUUGCUACUUUGACGUUACCGACAGAAUAAGCACCGGCUAACUUCGUGCCAGCAGCCGCGGUAAUACGAAGGGUGCAAGCGUUAAUCGGAAUUACUGGGCGUAAAGCGCGCGUAGGUGGUUCAGUAAGUUGGAAGUGAAAUCCCCGGGCUCAACCUGGGAACUGCUUUCAAAACUGCUGAGCUAGAGUACGGUAGAGGGUGGUGGAAUUUCCUGUGUAGCGGUGAAAUGCGUAGAUAUAGGAAGGAACACCAGUGGCGAAGGCGACCACCUGGACUGAUACUGACACUGAGGUGCGAAAGCGUGGGGAGCAAACAGGAUUAGAUACCCUGGUAGUCCACGCCGUAAACGAUGUCAACUAGCCGUUGGGAGUCUUGAACUCUUAGUGGCGCAGCUAACGCAUUAAGUUGACCGCCUGGGGAGUACGGCCGCAAGGUUAAAACUCAG
RNAcentral lists this ribosomal RNA (851 nucleotides) under Pseudomonas peli. RNAcentral's name for it is "bacterial SSU rRNA". It matches the Rfam family "Bacterial small subunit ribosomal RNA", at positions 56 to 904 of the family's 1533-position model. The record is from RNAcentral. Lineage: Bacteria; Pseudomonadati; Pseudomonadota; Gammaproteobacteria; Pseudomonadales; Pseudomonadaceae.